UAGCAGUAAAAGCAGGUAGCAGGUUGUGAGGUUUAGGAUACGGUAUGAGUUUUAUCAUUAAUUUCAUAUAUAGAGUAGUGCAAAGUAUGCUGCAGUUGUUGUCGCUUGGUAAACGUACAAUAUCAAACUCACUGAGUGUAUACAUUAAAACAAAUACAGGAGGUACGAUAUCAGUGGAACUAGACCCGAAAUGGUAUAUAAAGAAUGUGAAAGAGCUAGUUGCAACAAGGUUAGGGUUGUCACCAGAAGAAGUUAAAAUAAUUUUUGCAGGAAAAGAACUUCAUGAUUCGAUCGUUAUAGAGGAGUGCGAUUUGGGGCAGCAGAGUGUCCUCCAUGCUGUGAAGUCUCAUCCUUCCCCAAAGAAACCUGGUCUGGAGACUCCUAGUCAGGGUUCUAGGCCUCUGAGUGAGGCCCUGAUCAACCUUCAGUUGAGCGACCAAGAGCGACACAAUCUCAAGAGUGAUGCAGAUCACGAAAGGAAGCAUGCACACUUCUAUGUGUACUGUGCAUCACCUUGUAAAGAGAUGAAGCUUGGCAAGCUUCGUGUGCGCUGUGCAUCCUGUCACAGUGGUGCCUUUACCGUAGACAGAGAUCCACAAUGCUGGAAUGAUGUCUUAGAAGUUAGGAGAAUCACUGGUGAUUGUCAGAAUGAUGGCUGUACUGGGAGUGAUGAUGGACCAAAGUUUGCAGAUUUCUACUUCAAAUGCUCUGAACACACUUCACAGGGGGAGGAUGACCAAGCUGUGCCAUUGUACCUCAUCAAGUCAAAUUUUCAAGAUGUUCCCUGCCUUGCAUGCACCGACAUCAGUGAUCCUGUGCUGGUGUUUCCAUGUGACAUGGCACACGUAACAUGCCUGGAUUGCUUCCGAACAUACUGUGCUGCACGACUGAGGGACCGACAGUUCUGGUUAGACCCAGAGUAUGGCUACACACUACCUUGUCCAGCAGGGUGCAGGGACUCCCUUAUCACAGAGGUGCACCACUUUCGACUUCUGACAUCUGCUCAGUAUGGGCAGUACCAGAGGUUCGCUACAGAGGAGUAUGUUCUGCAGGCAGGAGGGGUACUCUGCCCCCAGCCGGGCUGUGGCAUGGGCAUCCUUGCUGAGCCAGAUUGUCGAAAGAUCACAUGUAUCAGUGGCUGUGGGUUUGUCUUCUGCCGCCAGUGCCUGCAGGGGUACCAUCUUGGGGAUUGUGUGCUUGAAGGUGAUGGCAUUGGGGCCAGUGUAGGCACAGGAGAUUGUCAGUACAAUGUGGACCCAGACCGUGCAGCUCAGGCUCGAUGGGAUGAGGCGAGCAAGGUGGCCAUAAAGGUGACAACAAAGCCCUGCCCCAAAUGUCGCACCCCAACAGAGCGAGCUGGUGGCUGCAUGCACAUGGUGUGCACACGGCCUCAAUGCAACUUUCACUGGUGCUGGAUCUGCCAGACAGAGUGGUCCCGCGACUGUAUGGGCAGCCAUUGGUUCGGAUAGACACAAACGAUGUCCAAAAGAAAAGCUUACAGGCCAUGCCUGGAAGGAGACACACCUCUAGAGGCAAGAUUUGAGUGUCCAAUCUGCUUGCAAUGUCUCUCAGAACCUGUCCUGACACCUUGUGGAUGCCGUUUCUGUAACAGCUGUAUCUGCGCAUGGUUAAAACGUGAGGGUGGUGUGUGCCCUGUUGACAACCAGCCACUCAACUCUGACAAGGACCUCUUUCCUGACAACUUCACCCGCAGAGAGAUUCAGGAGCUCGAUGUAAAGAACCAUCAGAAACGUUGGGGUAACUUGCAUACAUGUUUUAAUAGAGAGCCAAAAUCGCAAAAACAAACAAAAUCUGGUCAAGGAGCAACCACACGUCUCAAGUAUAUGUACUUUGACAGAUUACUUUUUCUCCUUCCUGAUGUUGAGCAAAGGAGAACGGAGUCAAAUGUUGGCCCUCAAGAAAAUGAAACAGAAACUAUUUCAGACUGUGAGACUGCUCAUGAGGGAACACCAUGCUGUCCCACAUUAUCAACGUACUGGCAAGGAAAAAUAUAUUGAAAAUAAUGAAACAUGAGGAACAGCAUCUACAAAUAUUGAAAGAGAAGACAACUGCAACAUCCGUAGAUGAAGAUACAUGCUUUGCACUGCCUUUAGUGCCAACAUUAAAGUCUUUACCCAGUGGAAAUAAAUUGCAGGUCAGGAUUGAAAUGUUAAGUACCUUACAAAAGUUUAAAUUUCAGUCAGCUACCAGCAUAUUCCAUCAAAAUCUAUGGGGGAAUCCCAUUGCCUUAUUUCAUUCAGCACCAUCUCCAUCCAUAUAUGUGUACCAAUCCCGUAGUGAGCAAUAUCACCUUAUUCCUACUCACUUCAUUCAAACCCACUGCCCACCACUUUUCAUCAAAUUGGCUUUCCUCCUUUUCAUCCCUCUGUUCAACAGUCUUUUCACUCAAACAGUGCAUUUUCUCCAAAUAUCCCACCAGUUAACCGAAUAGCCAGUGAUUCAUCAUCCACAAGAAUGCAAAAUGAGUCCACAGUUUCACCUGUCAGUGUUGCUUCAGAACCGUCAAUGAGCUCUUUCGUUUCCGAAUCUACAGUUUCAGAUAUUUUAGAUUUUGACUAAUGAAGUGUUCUGUUUCUGUGUUUAAAUGCUUGUAGAAUGAAAACAGAAUCAAAUUUAAACAAAAAGUUCUAUGAGAGUAUUAUCUGAAUAUGUACCUUUACUUUUUUGCCACUUAUUGACUUAUUUUCUUCGCUUUUAAGUUCAUUAAUAAAUGAUAUU
RNA transcript from Cryptotermes secundus, 2739 nucleotides. It is a transcript of the gene named E3 ubiquitin-protein ligase parkin, with no coding region annotated. The transcript has 12 exons. NCBI's taxonomy places the organism in Eukaryota, Metazoa, Arthropoda, Insecta, Blattodea, Kalotermitidae. The record is from RefSeq and is a predicted model, not a curated record.